This 490-nucleotide ribosomal RNA is filed under the name uncultured bacterium. RNAcentral's name for it is "bacterial SSU rRNA". It matches the Rfam family "Bacterial small subunit ribosomal RNA", at positions 28 to 507 of the family's 1533-position model. The record is from RNAcentral.
GAUGAACGCUAGCUACAGGCUUAACACAUGCAAGUCGAGGGGCAGCAUUUCUUUAGCUUGCUAAGGAAGAUGGCGACCGGCGCACGGGUGAGUAACGCGUAUCCAACCUGCCCUUGUCCACGGGAUAACCCGGUGAAAACCGGCCUAAUACCGUAUGAGGUCACAAGCGGACAUCCAACUGUGACGAAAGGUUUAGCGGACAAGGAUGGGGAUGCGUCCGAUUAGCUUGACGGCGGGGUAACGGCCCACCGUGGCGACGAUCGGUAGGGGUUCUGAGAGGAAGGUCCCCCACAUUGGAACUGAGACACGGUCCAAACUCCUACGGGAGGCAGCAGUGAGGAAUAUUGGUCAAUGGACGUGAGUCUGAACCAGCCAAGUAGCGUGCAGGAUGACGGCCCUAUGGGUUGUAAACUGCUUUUGUGCGGGGAUAAAGUGUGGGACGCGUCCCAUAUUGCAGGUACCGCAUGAAUAAGGACCGGCUAAUUCCGUG